AUUCACUGUAACUAUGACAUUUAAUAACUCUUUUUUUUUUAAUUUAUUUAUCAGAAGGUAUGCUGCUGCAAUAAUUUGGUGCAUUCACUUAUCUCAGUCCCACUAUUGGAAAGUAUAUUACUUGUACCUGAUUACAUUAUGUUUCACGGCUAUUAUAUUUCUUUAUACUGUUUUGCAUCAUCAUAGCUCUUAAAUUAUUCUACAUAUUUUUCAAGAGGAGGUGGUUUUUUCCCCAUUGCAAAAGAACCAGAUUUAGUUUCCCUGCUGUAAAUACCCCAUAUCAGUCAGUAGUUUGUAUUGGUUUUACUCAGUCCUGGUGAAAUGUAAUUAUUCUGCAAGUAUAAAUAAUUACCAGCUCUAUCUUACGGUAUAAUGCAAUGCAUAUAUUCUUGUCUUCCCAAGGAUAUGAGGCCUGUCUUUUUGCAAGAUAUGACGAGAAGUCACAGAUUGCUAAUUUGUGACCUGGCUUCCUAGCAGGGAGAAUGGUAAUUGCCAUCAGACAGCUCCCUCUGCUUUCUUAAGCACUAGAAGCACUUUUUACCAUCUACAUCACUCAGAAAAAGGUGCAAAGAGGAAUGUUCAGACAGUUCUCGAUUUCCCAGCUAAGUCUCUGCAUGAGGAACGCUGUAAAGCCUGAGCAAAAGGGAGCAGCCAGUUUUACCAGGGAGGGUGCAAGGAGGAAAAACAAGUUCACUCAGGAAGACCUGCAGCAUUUCCUCUUUGGGAAUGGUGCCAAAAGCACCGAGAGACCCAGCAAAGGAAGGAUUAACAGCUCCAGCCUCAAGAUGCUCUCAAUUAGUCCAUGUGAGAGGACACAAAGUUGA
RNAcentral lists this long non-coding RNA (824 nucleotides) under Calidris pugnax (ruff). RNAcentral describes it as "lncRNA (ENSCPUG00000004423.1)". The record is from RNAcentral. Lineage: Eukaryota; Metazoa; Chordata; Aves; Charadriiformes; Scolopacidae.